UACGAAGGGUGCAAGCGUUACUCGGAAUUACUGGGCGUAAAGCGUGCGCAGGCGGUUUUGUAAGUCUGUCGUGAAAUCCCCGGGCUCAACCUGGGAAUUGCGAUGGAGACUGCAAGGCUAGAAUCUGGCAGAGGGGGGUAGAAUUCCACGUGUAGCAGUGAAAUGCGUAGAGAUGUGGAGGAACACCGAUGGCGAAGGCAGCCCCCUGGGUCAAGAUUGACGCUCAUGCACGAAAGCGUGGGGAGCAAACAGG
Molecule: ribosomal RNA, 253 nt
Filed under: uncultured bacterium
Lineage: Bacteria
Description: partial 16S ribosomal RNA
Rfam family: Bacterial small subunit ribosomal RNA
Source: RNAcentral